RNAcentral lists this ribosomal RNA (253 nucleotides) under uncultured bacterium. RNAcentral's name for it is "partial 16S ribosomal RNA". It matches the Rfam family "Bacterial small subunit ribosomal RNA", at positions 524 to 776 of the family's 1533-position model. The record is from RNAcentral.
UACGUAGGGCGCAAGCGUUAUCCGGAAUUAUUGGGCGUAAAGAGCUCGUAGGCGGUUUGUCGCGUCUGCCGUGAAAGUCCGGGGCUCAACUCCGGAUCUGCGGUGGGUACGGGCAGACUAGAGUGAUGUAGGGGAGACUGGAAUUCCUGGUGUAGCGGUGAAAUGCGCAGAUAUCAGGAGGAACACCGGUGGCGAAGGCGGGUCUCUGGGCAAUAACUGACGCUGAGGAGCGAAAGCGUGGGGAGCAAACAGG